CAUAGCUAAGGAUAUAAGCUAUACAAACGAAAUUCAGGGGCAGAGUAAAAUUUCAUUUUAAAAUGAGUGUCAUAAUGUUCAUAUCUUUUCUAGCUAUCUUAAUUAAUGUUAUUGCUUGGCUAAUUUUCCUUAAGUGGUUAUGCAGCAGUGACUGCAGAGAACCCCAAGAGACAACCGGAUCUGAAUCAAACCAGAACCCUGAUGAUCCUCUUCCAAGCGCUCCUAUCACUUCCGUAGAAAUGUGCAUAUUGGACAUCGACCUGGUCCCAAAUUAUCAUACGGUCAUAUUAAGUGAUCCACUUGAAUCUCCAACUCUUGUUGACGAAACGUGCCCACCUCCAAGUUAUGCAGAGUAUUUACAGAACAAUAAUUUAAUCAGAUGACAAUUCCAGAUAUCUGUAGCAUUCAAUGUGUACAAGAGAAAUAAAAACCACCAACUAUAUUUUAUCCAA
This is a long non-coding RNA of Folsomia candida, 452 nucleotides long. RefSeq lists it as uncharacterized. The transcript has 2 exons. The record is from RefSeq and is a predicted model, not a curated record. Lineage: Eukaryota; Metazoa; Arthropoda; Collembola; Entomobryomorpha; Isotomidae.